GGAAUGUGGCUUAGUGGUAGAGUGCUUGCCUAGCAUGCAUGUAGCCCUGGGUUCAAUUCCCCAGUACCA
RNAcentral lists this transfer RNA (69 nucleotides) under Dipodomys ordii (Ord's kangaroo rat). It matches the Rfam family "tRNA". From Rfam's summary of the family: Transfer RNA (tRNA) molecules are approximately 80 nucleotides in length. Their secondary structure includes four short double-helical elements and three loops (D, anti-codon, and T loops). The record is from Rfam by way of RNAcentral. Lineage: Eukaryota; Metazoa; Chordata; Mammalia; Rodentia; Heteromyidae.